AAGGACUCUUAGCCACUGAGCCCAUCUCCCCAGCCCCCCACCCCCCCACCCCCCCACCCCGUUCUGCAUUUUUGUCCACCCCUGGUUCCCUACUGAGACCAGCAAGUCACUAACUCCUCACAUCAUGUCUGGAGGCUGGUCCUCUCCUUUGAACUCCCAACUGCGGAUUCACUGACCUACUUUGAUUUCCACACGGGCGUAACAUGGCUAGCUUCAACUCAACAUGAAUAAAAGUGAGCUCUUCUUUGCUCCCCCACCCCUUUGAGCUCCGUUCUCUCAUUCAUCUUGGUCACAUCCAUGGGAGACAGCUGUUUACCCUCACUCAGUGGUGGACAACAUUCUAGGGCAUGCAGGAAGCCCAAGAGAAAAGGAACCAGAAUUCAUGAAUAGGCAACAGCCACUCAGUGAAUGUGGGCCACAAGCCACUAGACUGCUGGUACUAGACAAGUGCUCUACAGGCUCGAUCUAAAGAGCUGGCUCACAUGAGUAUGGCUGCUGAGCCUAUAAUCCUGCGAUCUAUUAUCUACGAGCUGAAGGCUCAGGAAAGCUGACGAUGUAAUUCAGUCUCAGUCCAAAUGCCGGAGAACUGGAGAAGCUAGUGUUGUAAAUCACAGCCCUGGGGCUGGCAGUGAUGAGAAAUGUCCCAGCUGAUGCAGUGGAGCAAGAAUGAAGAGCCAGUUCCUCCUUCCUCUACCUCUUGUCUAUUCUAGCACUUGGUGGUCAGAGUGAGGCCCACCCACAUCAGAGAAAGCAAUCUACCCCGGCAAGCCCAUCCACUCACGCGGGUGGUAACCUCAUCCAGAAACACUCUCACUUUAAUCUGUAGUCAGACAAGCCUGCCAAUAGAAUUACGACCUAUCACAUGUCUCUUGAUGAAGCUGUAGAGUAGCCCAGGUGAGAAGUCAAUGAAGAGUGAUGGCAAUUGAGACCAGAAGAGGUAACAUUCCCAGCCUGGAAUAUUCCACAUAUUCAGAACCAGUAGACCAUACAGGUUGCCCCCUCUUCAUCAAAAUUCUACCUCUUAAUCUACUGCUGAAAAGACAUGUGCAGUCUUCACUGAAGUGUUCUGCAAAGCAGCAUGGGUUUAAAGUUCAGAAGCAAAUCAAAGACACGGGACUCCAAAGAGCUGAUUCACC
This 1136-nucleotide long non-coding RNA is filed under the name Mus spicilegus (steppe mouse). Its description in RNAcentral is "lncRNA (ENSMSIG00000012571.1)". Lineage: Eukaryota; Metazoa; Chordata; Mammalia; Rodentia; Muridae. The record is from RNAcentral.